GGGUUAAAAAAAUGAUUCUGUUCAAUCCCAUUUCACACCUUGGCCCUCCCCCUUCCCCCUACCCCUCCAUUUGCGCAUUCAUGUGAAGAGGUAGGGGUGUUCUGAUUCUCGAUGUGUUGGAGGGGUAGGGCUAAGAGGGAGGGCUGUUUGGCCCUCCAAACGGAGGUUUUUCCAAGACCACCCUACAAAUGGAGGG
Molecule: long non-coding RNA, 196 nt
Organism: Sphaeramia orbicularis (orbiculate cardinalfish)
Lineage: Eukaryota; Metazoa; Chordata; Actinopteri; Kurtiformes; Apogonidae
Exons: 3
Source: RefSeq, a predicted model, not a curated record